This 406-nucleotide ribosomal RNA is filed under the name uncultured bacterium. Its description in RNAcentral is "partial 16S ribosomal RNA". It matches the Rfam family "Bacterial small subunit ribosomal RNA", at positions 30 to 526 of the family's 1533-position model. The record is from RNAcentral.
AUUGAACGCUGGCGGCAGGCUUAACACAUGCAAGUCGAACGAGUGGCGGACGGGUGAGUAAUGUCUGGGAAUCUGCCUGAUGGAGGGGGAUAACUACGGGAAACUGUCGCUAAUACCGCGUACCAUCGGAUGUGCCCAAAUGGGAUUAGCUAGUUGGUGGGGUAAUGGCUCACCUAGCCGACGAUCUCUAGCUGGUCUGAGAGGAUGACCAGCAAAACUGGAAAUGAGACACGGCCCAGACGCAUACGGGAGGCAGAAGGGGGGAAUAUUGCACAAGGGGGGCAAGCCUGACGCAGCCAUGCCGCGUGAAUGAAGAAGGCCUUCGGGUGGUAAAGUACUUUCAGUGAGGAGGCGUUACUCGCAGAAGAAGCACCGGCUAACUCCGUGCCAGCAGCCGCGGUAAUAC